This 342-nucleotide long non-coding RNA is filed under the name Vigna radiata. Its description in RNAcentral is "long non-coding RNA (VRAD_LNC016277)". The record is from RNAcentral. Lineage: Eukaryota; Viridiplantae; Streptophyta; Magnoliopsida; Fabales; Fabaceae.
GGGCUAACAAGAAAAAAUUGUUUUUCUGGAAUGCAAAGUCCUUGAGUUAAGAGAGCUACCAUAAUAUUCAACAAUUAAGCACAACUCCCUUCCUCACCAAUCUUAAUUAUUUCCCAACUUCUUCCCUUUUCUUUUACAUUGAGCUCUCUUUCAUGCCUUUCUUCUUUUCUUUUCUUUUUCUCAUGCAUUUUUCUUUUUCAACAUUUGAGCUCAAUGCUUUACAAUUGCUUUUCAAUUUCCCCCAUACAACCCCAAACUUGAACCUUUUCCACACAUACAAUUAAGCUCAACCCAACUCAAGGUAAAGAAUUUCAAAUCAAGGGUUCUCAUCCUGUUUAAGGC